RNAcentral lists this ribosomal RNA (1113 nucleotides) under Triticum aestivum (bread wheat). Its description in RNAcentral is "partial small subunit ribosomal RNA". The record is from RNAcentral. Lineage: Eukaryota; Viridiplantae; Streptophyta; Magnoliopsida; Poales; Poaceae.
AUGGCGGAGGAGUGGUGGGGCUCCGCACGAACCGGCGGCGACGCGCUCUCGGCGUGCUCCGCGACGCCUACCGGCUCAGAGAUCAGCGGGACUUCGGGGAUGAGUUCGGGGCCCGCAGGUUUACCGGACUCUGCCGCCGCCGCCGCCGCCUCGCCGUUCUUCCUCGCUGAUCCGCACAUGGAUUGGACGCAAUCCUUCAUGGCCGGGAAAGUAGGAGCGGCGGCCGACGCUCCGACGAGCUUCAACGCGUUGCUCCACCUGCAAGGCGACGCGAGCCGCCAGUUCCUGCUCGAUCAGGCGGAGCAUCCGCCUCCCGUUCUGGCUACCCCGUACACCGGCGGCGCGUCGCAUCAGGGGUCCGUGUACGCGGACGGACUGUACGGCUCCAGCUUGGCCAGCAGCUACGGUGACACGCAGGCCGCCGCGACGACGAAGCCGUUCUCGCAGCAGCAGCACCACCACCACCAGUUCCCAGAUUUCUUCAGCUCGACGGGGCUCUUUGGUGCGCCGGCUCCGACCCAGAGGUCACCGCAGCCUCUCCUGCAGGCUCUAGAGCCCAAACUCCUCAAGUCUAGCACUGAACCUGCGGCUCAGGACGCCUGCUCGUCGUCAUCGGCGACGAGAAGGAGCAGCGCGGCCCCUCCGGCAGCGAAGAAGCCCCGGACAGAAACGCCGAUGCCGACUUUCAAGGUGAGGAAAGAGAAGCUCGGGGACAGAGUCACCGCGCUCCAGCAGCUGGUCUCGCCUUUUGGAAAGACGGACACGGCAUCGGUUCUUCACGAGGCCAUCGGAUACAUCAAGUUCCUUCACGAUCAAGUUGCCUCUCUGAGCUCUCCCUACUUCAUCAGGUGUAGUGGCGGUCCGGUGCAGCUCCAGCACAAACAGGCUUCGGAUGGUGACGCCGGCGAGGCGAAGGAGGACCUGCGGAGCCGCGGCCUGUGCCUUGUCCCGGUGGCGAGCACUUACACGAUGGCCAGCGAGACGGCGGCACCGGAGUUCUGGCACCCUACCUUCGGAGGUUGGGGUGGGAGGGAAUGUUGGAAGGGGAACUUGUGCUUAAAGAGCAAUGCUACAUCAACGAGAUUUUACUUAAGCUUUACGGAAAGAUAUUGA